UUAAAGAAAUAAAAAUUAAGGAAAAGCUUCUAACUUUAACCUUUAGCAGUGAAAUUCUGUUAGUAUUUCU
This 70-nucleotide transfer RNA is filed under the name Wittmerselasia variabilis. RNAcentral describes it as "partial tRNA-Ser". The record is from RNAcentral. Lineage: Eukaryota; Metazoa; Arthropoda; Insecta; Coleoptera; Elateridae.